UGCCCCCAAAAAGUUAGGAAAUCAGACACUCAACACUCGACCUCUCUGGGCCAGCUCCCCUCUGCUAUCCCUGCGCCUUCUGGCCAUUCUGCCUCCUGCAAGGCACGUCAGCCGAUUACCACUGUCAAAGUGGGAGAACGGG
Long non-coding RNA from Nanorana parkeri, 142 nucleotides. RefSeq lists it as uncharacterized. The record is from RefSeq and is a predicted model, not a curated record. Lineage: Eukaryota; Metazoa; Chordata; Amphibia; Anura; Dicroglossidae. The transcript is spliced from 3 exons.